UGGGGAAUAUUGCACAAUGGGGGAAACCCUGAUGCAGCGACGCCGCGUGAAGGAAGAAGUAUCUCGGUAUGUAAACUUCUAUCAGCAAGGGAAGAUAAUGACGGUACCUGACUAAGAAGCCCCGGCUAACUACGUGCC
Molecule: ribosomal RNA, 138 nt
Filed under: uncultured bacterium
Lineage: Bacteria
Description: partial 16S ribosomal RNA
Rfam family: Bacterial small subunit ribosomal RNA
Source: RNAcentral